Molecule: long non-coding RNA, 889 nt
Organism: Bubalus bubalis (water buffalo)
Lineage: Eukaryota; Metazoa; Chordata; Mammalia; Artiodactyla; Bovidae
Exons: 2
Source: RefSeq, a predicted model, not a curated record
CAGUGAAGGGGUUGAGACAGGUCACAGCCUCCAGCGGAUGGGAACCAGCCUUAGAGGGAGGUUGAAGGAAGCCGCAGGGACUGAGAACGGGGCGAGGUGCUGGGCCCGCCUGCUGUCUGCUGGCCUGUCUGCCUCUCUUAGGGCCGCACACUGGGGAGAUACACCCCCACCUCCCCCAGCCUGGAGGAAGGCGUACCGGCCUGGAGGAAGGCGUGUUUGGGCACAGAUUUGCUCAGUGGCUUCUGGAGGGGAGAAACAGUCACCUUUCCUUACUUCUUCCAAGUCAGACAGACUCUCUGGACUCCAGCUGGCAGGGACAGUGUGUGGACCUGACGGCGGCCCCUUCUCUUGUCCCGGGCCAGGAACGAGGUCAGCACUGGAAGGUGCUGGGAAACCAGAUUUAGGUGAUGGAGAGGAACAUGGAUGUGUAGCCAGCCUGAGGGGAUGCUAGAACCUUCUGUUGACCCCUACCAGCCUGUGUAAUCAUGGCUCUCAUUGAGCUCUCUUGGACACUGGAAGUCAGCUGGAUCAUGAAGGACAAGUGGAUGUAGACCCGCUGGGCUGUGGGCAUAGUGAAGGACCCUCGCAGUGACUGAGAACUGAUGCCCAGGUCCAGGCUCUGAAUCCAGAGAGGCAAGACCCGUGUGUGGCCCUCUAGUUCUACGCUCUCAUGAUGGAGAAUUCUGCGGUCAUUCUCAUGGAGACAGGUGUGUCUCAGGAGCCUCACGGCUCAGGCAGGCUGCCCUCCGGCCCGAAACAACCUUCCUCGAGCCCUGUGCACCCCAAACAAAAGCUGCAUCUGACUCCUCAGCCUUUGUGCACAUCUGCAUUAUUAGCAAUGCUAAUACCAUUCUGCAAUGAUAAAUAAUUAAACAAUUAUGGUCAUGAA